CUGCUCAGGACGAACGCUGGCGGCGUGCUUAACACAUGCAAGUCGAACGAUGAUGCCCAGCUUGCUGGGUGGAUUAGUGGCGAACGGGUGAGUAACACGUGAGUAACCUGCCCCUGACUCUGGGAUAAGCGUUGGAAACGACGUCUAAUACUGGAUAUGACUGCCGGCCGCAUGGUCUGGUGGUGGAAAGAUUUUUUGGUUGGGGAUGGACUCGCGGCCUAUCAGCUUGUUGGUGAGGUAAUGGCUCACCAAGGCGACGACGGGUAGCCGGCCUGAGAGGGUGACCGGCCACACUGGGACUGAGACACGGCCCAGACUCCUACGGGAGGCAGCAGUGGGGAAUAUUGCACAAUGGGCGAAAGCCUGAUGCAGCAACGCCGCGUGAGGGAUGACGGCCUUCGGGUUGUAAACCUCUUUUAGUAGGGAAGAAGCGUAAGUGACGGUACCUGCAGAAAAAGCACCGGCUAACUACGUGCCAGCAGCCGCGGUAAUACGUAGGGUGCAGAGCGUUGUCCGGAAUUAUUGGGCGUAAAGAGCUCGUAGGCGGUUUGUCGCGUCUGCUGUGAAAUCCCGAGGCUCAACCUCGGGCUUGCAGUGGGUACGGGCAGACUAGAGUGCGGUAGGGGAGAUUGGAAUUCCUGGUGUAGCGGUGGAAUGCGCAGAUAUCAGGAGGAACACCGAUGGCGAAGGCAGAUCUCUGGGCCGUAACUGACGCUGAGGAGCGAAAAGCGUGGGGAGCGAACAGGAUUAGAUACCCUGGUAGUCCACGCCGUAAACGUUGGGCGCUAGAUGUAGGGACCUUUCCACGGUUUCUGUGUCGUAGCUAACGCAUUAAGCGCCCCGCCUGGGGAGUACGGCCGCAAGGCUAAAACUCAAAGGAAUUGACGGGGGCCCGCACAAGCGGCGGAGCAUGCGGAUUAAUUCGAUGCAACGCGAAGAACCUUACCAAGGCUUGACAUACACCGGAAACGGCCAGAGAUGGUUGCCCCCUUGUGGUCGGUGUACAGGUGGUGCAUGGUUGUCGUCAGCUCGUGUCGUGAGAUGUUGGGUUAAGUCCCGCAACGAGCGCAACCCUCGUUCUAUGUUGCCAGCGCGUUAUGGCGGGGACUCAUAGGAGACUGCCGGGGUCAACUCGGAGGAAGGUGGGGAUGACGUCAAAUCAUCAUGCCCCUUAUGUCUUGGGCUUCACGCAUGCUACAAUGGCCGGUACAAAGGGCUGCGAUACCGUAAGGUGGAGCGAAUCCCAAAAAGCCGGUCUCAGUUCGGAUUGAGGUCUGCAACUCGACCUCAUGAAGUCGGAGUCGCUAGUAAUCGCAGAUCAGCAACGCUGCGGUGAAUACGUUCCCGGGCCUUGUACACACCGCCCGUCAAGUCAUGAAAGUCG
This 1384-nucleotide ribosomal RNA is filed under the name Curtobacterium sp. MG-2011-58-EM. RNAcentral's name for it is "bacterial SSU rRNA". It matches the Rfam family "Bacterial small subunit ribosomal RNA". The record is from RNAcentral. Lineage: Bacteria; Bacillati; Actinomycetota; Actinomycetes; Micrococcales; Microbacteriaceae.